RNAcentral lists this transfer RNA (56 nucleotides) under Pseudoniphargus unisexualis. Its description in RNAcentral is "tRNA-Gln". The record is from RNAcentral. Lineage: Eukaryota; Metazoa; Arthropoda; Malacostraca; Amphipoda; Allocrangonyctidae.
UUUAUCUUGGUGUAUGGGGCACAUAAAAUUUUGAUAUUUAAAGAAGGAGACUAGAU